AGGUAGAAAAGUAUGAAAACCUUCAGCAACCAAAUGAGAUUGUUAAGUUUAACAACAUCAAAAAAAAGAUUACAAUUCAUCCUCAAGAUCGUGUGGCAAAUGUUUUAAAACAGUUGUUUUAUCUGUCAAAUGAGGAUGAAGGAAACUAUGUAAUUGAAAACACCUCAAGAA
Long non-coding RNA from Physella acuta, 171 nucleotides. RefSeq lists it as uncharacterized. The record is from RefSeq and is a predicted model, not a curated record. NCBI's taxonomy places the organism in Eukaryota, Metazoa, Mollusca, Gastropoda, Physidae.